UAGGGAAUCUUCGGCAAUGGACGAAAGUCUGACCGAGCAACGCCGCGUGAGUGAAGAAGGUUUUCGGAUCGUAAAACUCUGUUGUUAGAGAAGAACAAGGACGUUAGUAACUGAACGUCCCCUGACGGUAUCUAACCAGAAAGCCACGGCUAACUACGUGCCAGCAGCCGCGGUAAUACGUAGGUGGCAAGCGUUGUCCGGAUUUAUUGGGCGUAAAGCGAGCGCAAGCGGUUUCUUAAGUCUGAUGUGAAAGCCCCCGGCUCAACCGGGGAGGGUCAUUGGAAACUGGGGGACUUGAGUGCAGAAGAGGAGAGUGGAAUUCCAUGUGUAGCGGUGAAAUGCGUAGAUAUAUGGAGGAACACCAGUGGCGAAGGCGGCUCUCUGGUCUGUAACUGACGCUGAGGCUCGAAAGCGUGGGGAGCAAACAGG
RNAcentral lists this ribosomal RNA (429 nucleotides) under Gemmatimonadota bacterium. RNAcentral describes it as "Gemmatimonadetes bacterium partial 16S ribosomal RNA". It matches the Rfam family "Bacterial small subunit ribosomal RNA", at positions 355 to 776 of the family's 1533-position model. Lineage: Bacteria; Pseudomonadati; Gemmatimonadota. The record is from RNAcentral.